AUUGAACGCUGGCGGCAGGCCUAACACAUGCAAGUCGAACGGUAGCACAGAGAGCUUGCUCUCGGGUGACGAGUGGCGGACGGGUGAGUAACGUCUGGGAAACUGCCCGAUGGAGGGGGAUAACUUCUGGAAACGGUAGCUAAUACCGCAUAACGUCGCAAGACCAAAGUGGGGGACCUUCGGGCCUCACACCAUCGGAUGUGCCCAGAUGGGAUUAGCUAGUAGGUGGGGUAAUGGCUCACCUAGGCGACGAUCCCUAGCUGGUCUGAGAGGAUGACCAGCCACACUGGAACUGAGACACGGUCCAGACUCCUACGGGAGGCAGCAGUGGGGAAUAUUGCACAAUGGGCGCAAGCCUGAUGCAGCCAUGCCGCGUGUAUGUAGAAGGCCUUCGGGUUGUAAAGUACUUUCAGCGGGGAGGAAGGCGGUGAAGUUAAUAACUUCACCGGUUGACGUUACCCGCAGAAGAAGCACCGGCUAACUCCGUGCCAGCCGCCGCCGUAA
RNAcentral lists this ribosomal RNA (504 nucleotides) under uncultured bacterium. Its description in RNAcentral is "partial 16S ribosomal RNA". It matches the Rfam family "Bacterial small subunit ribosomal RNA", at positions 30 to 523 of the family's 1533-position model. The record is from RNAcentral.